RNAcentral lists this unclassified non-coding RNA (424 nucleotides) under Hevea brasiliensis (rubber tree). The record is from RNAcentral. Lineage: Eukaryota; Viridiplantae; Streptophyta; Magnoliopsida; Malpighiales; Euphorbiaceae.
UAGUUCUAUAUAGGUUACAAGUUAGGUUUAUGCAUAAUACACAAAAUACCAUGUACUUCUUUUAACACAUAACCAAUCCAUAGAGUGCAAUCUUCAGUUUAACACCAGAAGUAUCCAUACUGGAGCUACCUUGAUAUCUUCUUAAUAUCACCAUCAUAAAUAAACAUUUCAUGUGAUUGGAAACAACUCGUCGAAGGAUCAGAAUAAUAAAGUUUCAGUUUGUGAAACAUUACUCCACUGAAUAGCUGUUACUCAGUUCAUUGAUGGAAUCAAAUAGUUGAAAUUAACCAGUAGAAACACUCAUUCUGGCCCUGCUGAUGAAAGCUUCCAUGAGAAGUAGUAGCUCUCACUAUAUGGAAUAGACUUCCUCAUGAUGCAUCUUAGAUAAUUAGUGUGUGUGAGAUCUACUGCAUAUAUGUUUUUG